Molecule: long non-coding RNA, 1657 nt
Organism: Meriones unguiculatus (Mongolian gerbil)
Lineage: Eukaryota; Metazoa; Chordata; Mammalia; Rodentia; Muridae
Exons: 3
Source: RefSeq, a predicted model, not a curated record
UACCUAAUGCAGACAGAGAUCAUAGAGUCUAAAAUAUACAGAUCAGCCAGACACGGAGACACACACCUUUAAUCCCAGCACUCAGGAGGCUGUGGCUGGUGGAUCUCUGAGUUUAAGGCCAGCCUGGUCUACAUGGUACCUUACAACAUCGAGGAGGGAAGGACUUAUGCCGGCCAUGGUUUGAGGCUGCAGUUAAUCACAGAAGGGAGCCCGUGGUGACAGAAGCAUGAGGCAGCUGUUCACAUCUCACCCAGGAUCAGCAAGCAGAGAAACAGGAAUGGUGAGGCUCCUGCAGGCAAAGAGGAGAGAGGGUGCUUCGUCACCUCUGUCCGUCAGGCCAGUCCAGUACCCCCGGCCAUGAGACGGUGGUGCCUACACUUAGAGGACACUCUCCCCUCAGAAUAUGGGGGAAGCCUGCGAAAAGCCAGUCUACCUGACAGUUCGCCAUGCCGAAAAGCCUGGCUUUCACUGCGAAAAAAGAGUAACACCCCAACUGCAAAUUUACUGGGACACUUCGGAACUCACCAACACACACUCAGCACUAGCGGUAAGCGCCCUCCUCUCUGUCCCCGGGGUUCCUGGCUCCUCCACCCAGUGUGUGUGAGUUGAAGAAAAGCAGCCAUAGUCCUGAAUUCCCUGUGAGCAGCAAGUGCUGAGUCAGGCCUGACAGGGUGAACGUGUUUCUUAGAGGCCUAAGGAGACAGCCUGAAGUUCCCACCAUCAGAGCUAGAAACCUGUGUGGGAAAGGGACGCCGUUUGUCCCUGGCACCAGGAGUCAGCGUCGAAGGCAGAGAGAGAGUUCCUGCCUUCGUGUGGAGGCCCCUCUCUCCAGGGUAAAAACAGCUCCCAGUUGUCCUGACGAGCCUGGGAGGGAAAGAGCAAGCCUCCGUCAGCAUUCCGGCUCUGUCAGAGGAUGUGAUCUGCUCCUGGCAUAGGCAGGAAAUGGGACUUGAAUCUAAUGAGCAAACACCGCCCACCCUGAGAGGCGGCAUUGUGGCACACACUCCCUGCCCAGUGCUGACCCCACCAGCCACAGAUCUUGGCACCAAGGCUAGGGGCGGCACCGGGAGGCCAGCCAGGCACCGGGCACAGUAGAGGCACGCACUCUGUGGGUGCACACCCUCCUGAAAGGGUUGCUUCUUCACAGCCUGCACCCUGGACUGCCAGCCUCCCUCCCCUCCAGCCAGGCUUCUCCAGGGACACAAUUAGAGCCUACAGAGGGGUUACUUAACAAGAUCCGGGGUCCUCCUGCCAGGUUCAUGACAACAGGCUGAAGCCACUAUCGAGCCUCAUUUGCCAAACCAUCGCACAGUCAGCAGUAAAUUGCACAAGAGGGAAAAGGAAAUCGGAGACGGAAGGCGAGGGAGCUUGUUUCCAAACUCUUACUUGGCCGUCAGUAUUGUGGGAUCAGCAGAAACCCCUCGGCUUCUUCCGCUGGGCUUUCCAGCCUGGCUUCGCCGCCAUUUGGGAGCAACCAGCAAAAGGGGCCGCAUCAAGAAGCCAGAGGCCUGCCUCUGCCAAGGUCAGAUGGCACCGAGGCCGAGUGGGCGGGGCAGGUGCAGUGGCCCACACCUGGAGACCUAGCUUCUUGGGUGGCAGGAGGACUAGCAGUUUGAGGACAGCCUGGUAAAUACAGAAAGACCCUUUCCAAGGCGAG